CCUACGGGCGGCAGCAGUGAGGAAUAUUGGUCAAUGGACGAGAGUCUGAACCAGCCAAGUAGCGUGAAGGAUGACUGCCCUAUGGGUUGUAAACUUCUUUUAUAAAGGAAUAAAACGAGGCACGUGUGCCUUUUUGCAUGUACUUUAUGAAUAAGGAUCGGCUAACUCCGUGCCAGCAGCCGCGGUAAUACGGAGGAUCCGACCGUUAUCCGGAUUUGUUGGGUUUAAAGGGAGCGUAGAUGGGUUGUUAAGUCAGUUGUGAAAGUUUGCGGUGCAACCGUAAAAUUGCAAUUGAUACUGGCAGUCUUGAGUACAGUUGAGGUAGGCGGAAUUCGUAGUGUAGCGGUGAAAUGCUUAGAUAUCACGAAGAACCCCGAUUGCGAAGGCAGCUUACUAAACUGUGACUGACAUUGAUGCUCGAAAGUGUGGGUAUCAAACAGGAUUAGAUACCCGAGUAGUC
RNAcentral lists this ribosomal RNA (460 nucleotides) under uncultured bacterium. RNAcentral describes it as "partial 16S ribosomal RNA". It matches the Rfam family "Bacterial small subunit ribosomal RNA", at positions 338 to 795 of the family's 1533-position model. The record is from RNAcentral.